GGAAAUACUUUAAGUUGACCAUCAACUAUUACCUGAGGAGGGUCUAAUGAAGCCACUGUCUUCUCUCCCAGUUUCCGCAUCAAGAGACUGACAUGGAAAACAGGGUGUAUUUGAGCAGUUUCUGGGAAGUUUGCGAUAUGGUUGCAGUUUCAGAUUGGGGUACUUGGUUGAUGCUGUUGGUUACUGUUUUUUGAACUUGGGGUCAAAGAAUCAUCCUCGAGAAGAGUUUGUGCAGUGAU
Hibiscus syriacus is the source of this 239-nucleotide long non-coding RNA. RefSeq lists it as uncharacterized. The transcript has 3 exons. The record is from RefSeq and is a predicted model, not a curated record. NCBI's taxonomy places the organism in Eukaryota, Viridiplantae, Streptophyta, Magnoliopsida, Malvales, Malvaceae.